GUUUUGGUUCCAGGUUGUUAGGUACUCAGCCACUGCAGUUCACUGAGAUGCCUUUUCUAAAAGGGUCGGUUUCUUUUUCCUGUAUCAGCAGUUGUGUUUCCGGGGGUGGGGGGGAGCUGUUACAGGAUACACUGGAGAUGGGUCUGAUGAACUAAGACUAAGGGGGCACUAUGUAUGAUUAGCAUGUUCUUAAUACCAGAAUGCCAACAAAGACUCCUUGCCAACAAAGGUCCGUAAAGUUAAAGCCAGUAGUGAUGUAUGGAAGUGAGAGCUGGACCAUAAAGAAGGCUGAUCGCCGAAGAAUUGAUGCUUUUGAAUUAUGGUGCUGGAGGAGACUCUGGAGAGUCCCAUGGACUGCAAGAAGAUCAAACCUCUCCAUUCUGAAGGAAAUCAGCCCUGAGUGCUCACUGGAAGCACAGAUCCUGAAGCUGAGGCUCCAGUACUUUGGCCACCUCAUGAGAAGAGAAGAUUCCCUGGAAAAGACCCUGAUGUUGGGAAAGAUGGAAGGCACAAGGAGAAGGGGACGACAGAGGACGAGAUGGUUGGACAGUGUUCUCGAAGCUACCAGCAUGAGUUUGACCAAACUGCGGGAGACAGUGGAAGACAGGAGUGCCUGGCGUGCUCUGGUCCAGGGGGUCACGAAGAGUCAGACACAACUGAACAACUAAACAACAACAACAAAAAAUAUCAGAAUGAAGUUUAUCACAGGUGCACCAGCUGACCCCUCACAGGAAGGGACAUGUUUAACAUGUUUUGCUGAAAGAAAAAUGGCCUCUGCACAGCCACAUGCAUACCAGCUUCCCAACCUAUUCGUUCACAGCAUCAAAGAACCAGGCUUUGAGCAAAGUUUCAGCCUUGGGGCCUGUAAGAAUUGUAGAGUGUAAUUUACUCUGUUAGGGGUGGCAAAGAGGGAAAGUAUGACUCUCCAGAGAGGGAGUUUUACCCCCAGAGGUGUCUUGAAACAGAAUAAAUCAAAUAAGCUGUGACAUUUUUUAGAACUUGUUCUGCUGUGUGUGAGUUUUUUCAGCUGAGAAAAGUCUAGCAAAAGGGUGUAUGAAAUGCACAGGGGUAAGAAUUUGCCUUAUAUAAUCCACCAUUUUGAAAAAUCCCCUAGCUGCGUGCAUAAUAACAAAACACUUAAACAUAGGGUGAUUCUUAUGCGUUGUCACAGCCAGCUCUCCAGGCUGAGGCCCAUGAAGGAGAAUUCAAGCAAAUUGUCUCCACCCAUGCCCCCUAGCACCAUCAAGUGAUAAAGUGCUUGUUGGACUCUGUCCAUGAGUGUACAUUGGAUAGCAAGGCGCAGCGAAGCCACAUGUGUGUCACAUUCAUGCUUUAGUUUAUUUAAUACCAUUUUAUAUCUUCAUAAUAUCACAGUGAAGUUUAACGCAACAAAUACAUUAAGGCAGAAACAAGUGCAGGUUCAUGAAGCACUAAAAACUCAGCCAUAUGUGACCUUCGAUGAGUUGACACCUCUCAGCUGAAUGUGCCUCACUGGGAUGGAUGUCGUGAGGAUAAAAUGGGGAGGCCACUUAGAGCUCCUUAGAGAGAAGGUGCAAUAUAAAAUAUAUAAAUAAAUACAUAAAUAAAAAUGUACUUGUGAAAAGGCUUCUUUUCAUUUCUAUUGACUGAGUGCUGCCUUUUUGCUUCAUAAACAGAAAUGUUUAUGAAGUUACAUUUUACUAGAUUUACUCAAGAAGAAAAUUCUGCAGUAGCUAAACUUUAAAAAGGAAAAGCAACCCAAUUAUGCCCAGAGGGUGAUGUCUCUUUCUUUUGUCACAAGUUUAUUCCCCCCCCCCCAGACCCUCUUACCUAUUACAUACCCUGAGGAGAAUUCUGAGUUCCUCUAAAACUUUGCAGCUUCAUUUGCUUUAAUUCCCUCAGAUGAGCACACAUGAGAAGAUAAAUCUAUGUUGUGUUCUCAAAAUAGGUUUUAUGGGAAAGAAUAGGGUAAGCAAUAACAAGACAGUAACCCAUCAGCAAUCUAUGCUGAUCAAUGUAGCCCAAAGCCAACCCCUGCCCGCUGCAAAAAAAUAAAAUUAAAAAGCAUUGUGCUGGCUAAGGAAGGACCUUCCAACUUAUCUCAUGAUUUGGCCAGGCCAGCAAGUGACAACAGUUCAUUGCUCUUUGGGUCACUGCUGGGCUCAUUUCAUGGGACUUGUGCAUGAAAAUACCAAUGAUGUUUAAUUAACUUUGCCUCCUAUCUCAUUCUUUGCACACAGUUAAGCUACAGAGAGAAACUGGUCUUUCUCCUCUCUGUGAUCAUAUAAAAUCUUAAGCACGUCAUGUAAAUGAGCAAAGGUUCCUGUCCAGCUGGUUUGGGAAAUGGCAAGGAUCCAAGAAGGCCUGCAAGGAGUGAUAAAAGAAACUGAUUGCAGCCGUCAAAUGCAAUGCUGUUCAUCUUUCCUGCUGGCCCAUCAAACAGUAAGUAUCCUUUCUGAAAGAAAAGAUAAACACAGAAUGCUCAUAUUUUUCCUUUCCCUAAAUAGACUUCUGCAUGGGCUCACAGGCAGGCGCGCGCAC
Non-coding RNA from Podarcis lilfordi (Lilford's wall lizard), 2520 nucleotides. The record is from the annotation of a GenBank genome assembly. NCBI's taxonomy places the organism in Eukaryota, Metazoa, Chordata, Lepidosauria, Squamata, Lacertidae.